GAGGGGUAUGGCAGCAAUGCCAGAGACCGGCGCACGGGUGCGUAACGCGUAUGCAAUCUGCCUUUCACAGAGGGAUAGCCCAGAGAAAUUUGGAUUAAUACCUCAUAGUAUAGUACAACCGCAUGGUUGAACUAUUAAAGUCACAACGGUGAAAGAUGAGCAUGCGUCCCAUUAGCUAGUUGGUAAGGUAACGGCUUACCAAGGCUACGAUGGGUAGGGGUCCUGAGAGGGAGAUCCCCCACACUGGUACUGAGACACGGACCAGACUCCUACGGGAGGCAGCAGUAAGGAAUAUUGGUCAAUGGGCGCAAGCCUGAACCAGCCAUGCCGCGUGCAGGAUGACGGUCCUAUGGAUUGUAAACUGCUUUUGUACGGGAAGAAACAACUCUACGUGUAGAGUCUUGACGGUACCGUAAGAAUAAGGAUCGGCUAACUCCGUGCCAGCAGCCGCGGUAAUACGGAGGAUCCAAGCGUUAUCCGGAAUCAUUGGGUUUAAAGGGUCCGUAGGCGGUUUGGUAAGUCAGUGGUGAAAGCCCAUCGCUCAACGGUGGAACGGCCAUUGAUACUGCUAGACUUGAAUUAUUAGGAAGCAACUAGAAUAUGUAGUGUAGCGGUGAAAUGCUUAGAGAUUACAUGGAAUACCAAUUGCGAAGGCAGGUUGCUACUAAUGGAUUGACGCUGAUGGACGAAAGCGUGGGUAGCGAACAGGAUUAGAUACCCUGGUAGUCCACGCCGUAAACGAUGGAUACUUGCUGUUGGGAGCGAUCUCAGUGGCUAAGCGAAAGUGAUAAGUAUCCCACCUGGGGAGUAUGUUCGCAAGAAUGAAAC
RNAcentral lists this ribosomal RNA (828 nucleotides) under uncultured Bacteroidota bacterium. Its description in RNAcentral is "bacterial SSU rRNA". It matches the Rfam family "Bacterial small subunit ribosomal RNA", at positions 64 to 900 of the family's 1533-position model. The record is from RNAcentral. Lineage: Bacteria; Pseudomonadati; Bacteroidota.